RNAcentral lists this ribosomal RNA (761 nucleotides) under Gallowayella poeltii. Its description in RNAcentral is "LSU rRNA". It matches the Rfam family "Eukaryotic large subunit ribosomal RNA", at positions 165 to 944 of the family's 3401-position model. The record is from RNAcentral. Lineage: Eukaryota; Fungi; Ascomycota; Lecanoromycetes; Teloschistales; Teloschistaceae.
CGGGCGAGGNGCCGGUCUAAGUCUCUUGGAACGGGGCGUCGUAGAGGGUGAGAAUCCCGUAUGUGACCGGUGACUGAGCCUAUGUGAAACUCCUUCGACGAGUCGAGUUGUUUGGGAAUGCAGCUCAAAAUGGGUGGUAAAUUUCAUCUAAAGCUAAAUACUGGCCAGAGACCGAUAGCGCACAAGUAGAGUGAUCGAAAGAUGAAAAGCACUUUGGAAAGAGAGUCAAAAAGUACGUGAAAUUGUUGAAAGGGAAGCGCUUGCAACCAGACCUGCCCGCGGGUGAUCAACCGUCCUUCUGGGCGGUGCACUCGCCCGCGAUCAGGCCAGCAUCGGUUCGGGCGGUCGGAUAAAGGCCUUGGGAACGUAGCUCCUCUCGGGGAGUGUUAUAGCCCUCGGUGCAAUGCGGCCAGCCUGGAUCGAGGACCGCGCUUCGGCUAGGAUGCUGGCGUAAUGGUCGUAAGCGGCCCGUCUUGAAACACGGACCAAGGAGUCUAACAUCUAUGCGAGUGUUUGGGUGUCAAGCCCAUACGCGUAAUGAAAGUGAACGGAGGUGGGAACCCGUUAGGGCGCACCAUCGACCGAUCCAGAUGUCUUCGGAUGGAUUUGAGUACGAGCAUAACUGUUGGGACCCGAAAGAUGGUGAACUAUGCCUGAAUAGGGUGAAGCCAGAGGAAACUCUGGUGGAGGCUCGCAGCGGUUCUGACGUGCAAAUCGAUCGUCAAAUUUGGGUAUAGGGGCGAAAGACUAAUCGAACCAUC